This 96-nucleotide microRNA precursor is filed under the name Nicotiana attenuata. RNAcentral describes it as "MIR6152 microRNA precursor family". It matches the Rfam family "MIR6152 microRNA precursor family". Lineage: Eukaryota; Viridiplantae; Streptophyta; Magnoliopsida; Solanales; Solanaceae. The record is from Rfam by way of RNAcentral.
UAGACAGAUUAUUGUAUUCGACUGUAUUCACGGCGUGAAACAGGGGAUUACACUGUUUUUAAACGCAAAGUGAAUCAAUUAACAUAAUAGACUCCU